UGAGGAAUAUUGGUCAAUGGACGCAAGUCUGAACCAGCCAUGCCGCGUGAAGGAUGAAGGCCUUCUGGGUUGUAAACUUCUUUUAUUGGGGAAGAAAAUUACGGUUUCUACUGUAACCGACGGUACCCAAGGAAUCAGCACCGGCUAACUCCGUGCCAGCAGCCGCGGUAAUACGGAGGGUGCAAGCGUUAUCCGGAUUCACUGGGUUUAAAGGGUGUGUAGGCGGGCUAUUAAGUCAGUGGUGAAAUCUCAGGGCUCAACCCUGAAACUGCCAUUGAUACUAUUAGUCUUGAAUAUCGUUGAGGUUGGCGGAAUAUAUCAUGUAGCGGUGAAAUGCAUAGAUAUGAUAUAGAACACCGAUUGCGAAGGCAGCUAACUAAGCGAUGAUUGACGCUGAGGCACGAAAGCGUGGGGAUCAAACAGG
Molecule: ribosomal RNA, 424 nt
Filed under: uncultured bacterium
Lineage: Bacteria
Description: bacterial SSU rRNA
Rfam family: Bacterial small subunit ribosomal RNA
Source: RNAcentral